Molecule: ribosomal RNA, 499 nt
Filed under: uncultured bacterium
Lineage: Bacteria
Description: partial 16S ribosomal RNA
Rfam family: Bacterial small subunit ribosomal RNA
Source: RNAcentral
GACGAACGCUGGCGGCGUGCCUAAUACAUGCAAGUCGAGCGGACUUUCAAGAAGCUUGCUUUUUGAAAGUUAGCGGCGGACGGGUGAGUAACACGUGGGCAACCUGCCUGCAAGACGGGGAUAACUCCGGGAAACCGGGGCUAAUACCGGAUAAUAUCUUCCUUCGCAUGAAGGAAGGUUGAAAGGCGGCGCAUGCUGCCGCUUGCAGAUGGGCCCGCGGCGCAUUAGCUAGUUGGUGAGGUAACGGCUCACCAAGGCGACGAUGCGUAGCCGACCUGAGAGGGUGAUCGGCCACACUGGGACUGAGACACGGCCCAGACUCCUACGGGAGGCAGCAGUAGGGGAUCUUCCGCAAUGGACGAAAGUCUGACGGAGCAACGCCGAGUGAGCGAAGAAGGUCUUCGGAUCGUAAAGCUCGGUUGUCAGGGAAGAACAAGUACCGUUCGAACAGGGCGGUACCUUGACGGUACCUGAACAGAAAGCCACGGCUAACUACGUG